AAGGAUUUAAGUUAAAUAAACUAUUAACCUUCAAAGUUAAAAAUAGAUUAUACUCUAAGCCUUA
RNAcentral lists this transfer RNA (64 nucleotides) under Megalocaria dilatata. Its description in RNAcentral is "tRNA-Trp". Lineage: Eukaryota; Metazoa; Arthropoda; Insecta; Coleoptera; Coccinellidae. The record is from RNAcentral.